GCUUGGCUCUCCGGAGAAGAUGGCGGCGGCGGACCUCGCACAGAUUCCUGAAGUGGACAUCGAUUCGGACGGCGUCUUCAAGUACGUGCUGGUCCGGGUGCACUCAGCACAGCCCUCCGGGGCUCCGGCCGGGGAGUGCAAGGAGAUCGUGCGAGGCUACAAGUGGGCCGAGUACCACGCCGACAUCUACGACAAAGUAUCUGGCGAACUGCAGAAGAAGGGCUAUGACUGCGAGUGCCUGGGGGGUGGGCGCAUCUCUCACCAGAGCCAGGACAAGAAGAUUCACGUCUAUGGCUACUCCAUGGGCUACGGUCGGGCCCAGCACUCCGUCUCAACUGAGAAGAUCAAGGCCAAGUAUCCUGACUACGAGGUCACCUGGGCCGAUGAUGGCUACUAAGGCCAAGCCCCACCUGCGGACUCUGUCCUUGCUGGGGUCCCUCCUGAGAGGUUGGCCCAGCCCUUUUCCUCUGCAUUUCUUGGCAAUGUGCCAGCCCUCUGAGCCUCAGAGGCCAGACCAACCUGGCUUGUGGAAAUUAAAAGCUUGGUCUCCUCCAGGCCAGCCUCCUGACUCAGCCUCCUAAAUAGCAGGGAUUACAAGGCAUGCCCCACUGCGCCUGGCUCGGCAGUUUUGAAAGAUGAGAACAUGGCCACGUAGGAGUUCACAACCUGAGCCACAUGUGGGGCAGGAGG
Molecule: RNA transcript, 690 nt
Organism: Sciurus carolinensis (gray squirrel)
Lineage: Eukaryota; Metazoa; Chordata; Mammalia; Rodentia; Sciuridae
Gene: Phpt1
Gene name: phosphohistidine phosphatase 1
Exons: 4
Source: RefSeq, a predicted model, not a curated record